UGAAGCUCUCUUGCUCCCUCUCUCUCUCUACCUCUCUCUCCCCCUCUGUAGUCAGUAAUUUUUAGGGCUGGGCGUCUGGGGACUGCCCUCGCCGUCUCCUCUGGUCUCUGCGACUCCAUCAGUCGAAUUCUCGACUUCACACGCCACAGCACAGACGCACAACAUUGGCUUAUCUCCAAUCGCUGCAAUCGGAUUGUGAAUGAAUAGUUCUCUUGUAGCCUAUAUCCUCUUGCAUUCUGCAGUGUGUGUUCUAAUUCGCACAACAUUACAACAACACAUGCAUGGGUGUGACUGCAGGCUCUGUGCUAAACCGUCUUCUUUGUGACAAAGGCCAUCUAACCAAACCCUCAAAUCCCACCACCGUCAAAGCCAUCACCAGCAAAAUCCUCACUUAUCUUGACUCUGGUCAUCUCCCGAAAGCUGUUUCAAUCCUCUUUGCAUCUCCAUUUCCCUUCCAAUUUUCUCUCUACGCCCAUCUCUUCCAGCUCUGUUCCUCAAACCGCGCCAUUCUCGAGGUCCGAAAGGUUGAGUCGCAUUUGGUCACCUUCUCACCCAUCCCGCCCAUUUUUCUACUGAAUCGUGCCAUUGAGGCUUAUGCGAAAUGUGGGUCUUUGGGAGAUGCGAGGGAGCUGUUCGAGGAAAUGCCUCAAAGAGAUGGUGGGUCUUGGAAUGCAUUGAUAACAGCGUACUCACAAACUGGGAAUCCUGAGGAUGCCUUUGGCUUGUUCAUAAAGAUGAACCGGUCGGGUUUUUUGCCAAAUGAGAUUACAUUUGCCAGUGUUCUUGGGUCGUGUGCUGCAGUUUUGGCGCUUUGGCUUUCGAGGCAAAUUCAUGCGGUUAUUUUCAAGUAUGGUUUCAAUGGGAAUGUGAUUUUAGGGAGUUCACUUGUUGACAUAUAUGGGAAAUGUGGGGUUAUGAGGGAUGCCCGUGGAAUAUUUGAUGAGAUCCAGAAUCCAAAUGACAUAUCUUGGAAUAUAAUUGUGAGGCGGUAUCUCGAGAUGGGUGAAGGAAAGGAGGCAAUAAUUAUGUUUUUCCAGAUGUUUGUGGCAGCUGUUAGGCCAUUGAAUUUCACCUUUUCUAAUGCUCUUGUUGCUUGUUCGAGUAUUACUGCACUUGAAGAGGGAAUGCAGAUUCAUGGAGCUGCAAUUAAAAUGGGUUUCGAAAAUGAUGAGGUUGUUUUGAGCUCCCUUAUCGAUAUGUACGCCAAGUGUGGGGAACUAGAGAAUGCAUGUGCAAUUUUUGACCAGCCUAAGUCGAAAAAUUUGAUUUCUGGGACUUCAAUUGUUUCAGGAUAUGCAAUGAGUGGACAGACGUGGAAGGCAAGAGAGUUCUUCAAUGAAAUGCCUGAACGGAAUGUGGUAACUUGGAAUGCAAUGUUGGCAGGAUACACUCAUUAUUUCCAGUGGGAAGAGGCUUUGAAUUUUAUAUUCCUGAUGGUGAACACAACAAAAAAUAUAGACCAAGUCACCCUUGGGUUAAUCCUCAAGGUGUGUGCUGGCCUUUCGGAUGUUGAAAUGGGAAAACAGGUUCAUGGAUUCAUUUACCGACAUGAUUUCUGUUCCAAUAUCUUUGUUGGAAAUGGCCUUCUUGACAUGUAUGGUAAAUGUGGGUACUUGAAAAGUGCCAAAACAGUCUGGUUUCACCAAAUUAGUCAGUGCCGGGAUAGAAUUUCUUGGAAUACUUUGUUGAGUAGCUAUGCUCGUCAUGGCCGGAGUGAACUAGCUAUGACAAUAUUUUGUGAGAUGCAAUUGGAGGAAACACCUGAUGAAUACACGUUUGCAAUUCUCCUGGCAGCUUGUGCAAAUAUUUUUGCACUUGAGCAAGGAAAACAAAUUCAUGGUUUCAUGAUCAGAAAUGGUUAUACAAUGGAUAGUGUGGUCAGGGGGGCAUUAGUUGACAUGUAUUCCAAGUGUCAUUCUAUUGAGUAUGCUAUCAUGGUUUUCAAAGAGAGGGCUUCAAGAGAUGUAAUUCUAUGGAACUCCAUGAUUUUGGGAUGCUGUCACAACUAUAAGGGGAGAGAAGUACUUAAAUGUUUUGGUUUGAUGGAGGAUGAAGGUAUUAAGCCAGAUCAUGUAACAUUUCGAGGUGUUUUACAUGCUUGUACAUAUGAAGGUUUUGUUGAGUUGGGCAGGCAGUAUUUUGAUUCGAUGACCAAUGAGUACGGUAUUAUACCUAGAUUAGAGCACUAUGAGUGCAUGAUUGAACUCUACAGCCAAUGGGCGUACAUGGAUGAGCUUGAAAAUUUUGUAAAGAAUAUGCCAUUUGAUCCUACAGUCCCAAUGUUGACAAGAGUCCUUGAUGCUUGUAGAAGACAUGGCUGCUUGAGAUUGGGACAAUGGGCUGCUCAAAGACUUAAUGAGUAAUCCUUCUAGUUCAUAAGAGUUUCAGAUUAUGGACAGAGCCAAGUAGUGAUUGCCAGCGUUGCAGAUUUGGAAGCUUAAACUACUACCUUGUCGUAAACGUUCUACAUUGAAUGAAAUUUGUUUGACGUAAUGGAUGAAGGAGUACUCUAGAAAAUUGAAGCAACAAAAUUUGUUGGUCAUGCAGAAAUGAUUAUUUUUUCCUCAACGUGUUCCUACAUCCACAACGACAACAGCAGGUAAUAAAUGCUGAUGAUAGCGAUCGGGCGGACACCCUUUCCCCAACUCUGAUGUGCCAAUUUUCUGUGCUUGCAAGUUGGAAAGACACCGUUUUAUUUGUCUUAGCAAAUCAGGGUUCAGGAUACACUGUUUUCAUCUUAUUGUUGUAUAUUCUUCUAUUUAAUUUUUCUACUUCAAUAAUUUUUUUAAUAUGAUGCAGGAAGAUGAAAAGGAGAAUCGCAAAGGCUUUUCAAGCAGCCAUAUUCAAAUAGUUUUCUUCAAUUGAAGUACUGUUUUAUCUAUCUGUUGAAAAUAUUUUUCGAUGAACAUUUGUAAGGAUACAAGUAUAAACAACAUUUGUUAUGGGACUCAGCUUCAUACACUCUUCUUGACUUGAGGUGCAGCAGAGAAGAGAAGCCAUUACCAAGCAACCACAAUGUUCAAAGGACCAACAAAGCAGAUUUCCAGGAACUGGAAGGAUUCUCCACCAGGACCUGUUGGAUGGCCCAUACUUGGGAGCCUUCCUCACCUCCUCAACAAUCGCCUUCAUGAGGACUUGUUUCAUCUCUCUAGAAUCCAU
RNA transcript from Prunus dulcis (almond), 3159 nucleotides. It is a transcript of the gene named pentatricopeptide repeat-containing protein At3g26540, with no coding region annotated. NCBI's taxonomy places the organism in Eukaryota, Viridiplantae, Streptophyta, Magnoliopsida, Rosales, Rosaceae. The record is from RefSeq and is a predicted model, not a curated record. The transcript has 4 exons.